ACUCCCAAACCUCAACUACCGAUCCUAAAAGGGUGGUCAAGGGGUCAGAAGGCCAACUACCACCGCCGGCCACUCCAAGGCUGUGCCGGCGGCGUCCUCCAUCAUCGACCCUUUUUGCUGCCCAUGAUCAACUCCACGAGGUCUACCACAAGCCUGCAUCGAGCAGGCGAUUAUGUCCAAUCCAAUUACCUGUAAGUGCAUCUCCUAAAAAUUUCUCUGUAUAAACGUCAAUUAGGUGCCCUAAGUAUGAUCAGCACAUGUUAAUGUUUUCCUAAUGACGAACUAAACCUAACACUUACGUACCUUAGUAUGGUGUUAUAAGCCAAGGCGGCACUGAUGGCGACCAUGGGCGAGCAAUGGCUUCCUCCGCUCAGACGACAACAAGGACCACGACUCGUGGAUUUUCCUGUUACCACUUGUCUUGAAUAUGGAGCGUGCUUUAUAGCUUAAUUGGCAGCAGGUUCAGGAAGACUUCCUCCACUCGGGCGCUGGGUACAAGAACAACUGCAAUCGAUAGGGCAAACACCCUAGCUACCUUAUUAUGGUGUUAGAGGCCAAGGCGGCAGUGAUGGCGAGGAUGGGCGUCCAGUAGCAGCGGCUUCCACUGCUCAGAUGAUGAAUUUUAUUGUUGCCACUUGCCCUGAAUAUGGAGCGUUCCUGUUACCUGAUGAAUAAUGGGCGGCAGCUUCAGGACGACUUCCUCCACUCGGAGGCUGGGGACAAGAACCACUGCAAUGGAUAGAUUGGAGAUGCUUUGGCUGUCUGAUGCAUGACUGGAGGGUGGAAGAAUAAGAAGUGAAAGCUGAACUCCUCUUGUUUGCGAAACCAGAAUUUGUAUUUGGUAGUCUGACUGACUGCUUACUGUGACUCCAAAUCUGGAAUGUUCCAGACCGGUUGUUUCAUUGCCAGAAGUUGUAAUGAUGUGCAAUGUUUGUUUAGCUAGACUUGUGAUGGGAGUAGGCUUGUGCUGUUGCACUUUUAUUGA
Molecule: long non-coding RNA, 985 nt
Organism: Lolium perenne
Lineage: Eukaryota; Viridiplantae; Streptophyta; Magnoliopsida; Poales; Poaceae
Source: RefSeq, a predicted model, not a curated record